CCUACGGGGGGCAGCAGUGGGGAAUAUUGGACAAUGGGGGCAACCCUGAUCCAGCCAUGCCGCGUGUGUGAAGAAGGCCCUCGGGUUGUAAAGCACUUUCAGUGAGGAAGAACGCCUGGUGGUUAAUACCCAUCAGGAAAGACAUCACUCACAGAAGAAGCACCGGCUAACUCCGUGCCAGCAGCCGCGGUAAUACGGAGGGUGCGAGCGUUAAUCGGAAUUACUGGGCGUAAAGCGCGCGUAGGUGGCUUGAUAAGCCGGUUGUGAAAGCCCCGGGCUCAACCUGGGAACGGCAUCCGGAACUGUCAAGCUAGAGUGCAGGAGAGGAAGGUAGAAUUCCCGGUGUAGCGGUGAAAGGCGUAGAGAUCGGGAGGAAUACCAGUGGCGAAGGCGGCCUUCUGGACUGACACUGACACUGAGGUGCGAAAGCGUGGGUAGCAAACAGGAUUAGAUACCCGGGUAGUC
This 465-nucleotide ribosomal RNA is filed under the name Vreelandella stevensii. RNAcentral describes it as "partial 16S ribosomal RNA". It matches the Rfam family "Bacterial small subunit ribosomal RNA", at positions 338 to 795 of the family's 1533-position model. Lineage: Bacteria; Pseudomonadati; Pseudomonadota; Gammaproteobacteria; Oceanospirillales; Halomonadaceae. The record is from RNAcentral.